Spodoptera frugiperda (fall armyworm) is the source of this 5296-nucleotide long non-coding RNA. RefSeq lists it as uncharacterized. NCBI's taxonomy places the organism in Eukaryota, Metazoa, Arthropoda, Insecta, Lepidoptera, Noctuidae. The record is from RefSeq and is a predicted model, not a curated record. The transcript has 3 exons.
AUUAAUUUCGAAUAUUGGUCGAUGAGACGGAUUAUUGUAUUAUAAUUGUUCUGUAAAUAUAAAUUGUAAUUCCUGAAAGUUAUGAAUUUCAUUUAAUCGUCUUGCAUCUUGAAAUAACACUUCAGAAGUGGGAUCUUUUCAAAUUGUCUGGACCUUACAUCGGUGGAUUGGGGAAAGGACAAAGAAAGUACAAGACAGAAAGUUCGGAAGAUGAAAACAAUGGAAUUUUUUUUUCGGAAGACCAUGAACCACGCACGAAAUGUAGCAUCUACGGUGAAAAUACAAUUUCAUGUAUAAUUCGAGAUGAGGGCCAAUGCAAAGGCAUAGUUGUGAAACUCCCGAACAACUGUACCAUGGCUACAUGUCGUCACUGGAGAACCUGAUACCCGUGGGUUCAACUAGUACACGCAGAACUUCAUUGUGCCCAAUGGAACUUCGACUGUUCAACAACAGCCCAAGAUUUACUACGUUUGCCGGCGUCCUGGACACGAAGCAAAGGAUUGCAGACAACAACAGCGCUGCGAGAACUGUCGGCGCAGCGGACACACCACGGCUACGUGCUGGUUUGCUCCGAGUUCUUCACACUUAGCGACAAAAUGUUACCCAGGUAAUGCUAACUUAUAACUUAUGACAUAUUUGUGACAUUUAUAAGAGAAUUGUGAUCGUAAAUAAUUGCCAGAUCAUUAGCAGCGUACGUUGAUACAAACUGAAUAAUAUGCUUUAAAUUUUGCGAGCAAAAGAUUUACAAUUAGAGAUUCAAUCUAGCACUACAGUUAUGAAAGGUUUUGGCGGCGCCUGUGUGAAUUUAUUAUGUACAUGUUAUCUGUGUGUUUCAAUAGACAAUGUCGAACUAAAAAGUGCAGUAGAAUUGACUAGCUGUUUUACAUUUGAUGCUGAUUUAAUAAUUGGUCAAACAAUGAUUAAUAGUGACAAUAUAAGCUUAAUAACUUCUGCUGCUUCUAUUCGUUUUGUGCAAAAGAAUGCCGUACAAGAAAUAAUUACUGACAUUAAUUUGAAAUCAUCCGACUUUAAUAGAAAAUACCCAAUUUAUUUAAAGCACUCCGUAAAUAUCCCUGUUGUAAUAUUAUGUUGAUUGUGAUAUAGAAUUACGAGCAGAGUUCACAUUUUUGAUUGAACUGUAUGGGUGCAAAUAGUGACUUAAUAUACCUAACGUAUUUCAUACCUGCAGCUGUCAUCAAAUCGCACAAUACUUAUUUGAAAAUUCUUAACUUAGGUAAUGUUAAUCUGUCGUGGGUGGGGCGUUGAUAAUAAUUAGUAACCAUGCCAGAGACGAGUAGUGAGCCUGUGGUCCUUAAUAUAGACAAGUAUCAGACAGUUAGAUUACAAAUUGAUCUCUCAGACACAAACGUGGACCAAAUUAGUGACACUGAGAAUAAGCAAUGACUACAGCUGCUCUAAUUCGUUUGCUAAAAAUAUUAGAGACUAGCUACUUUCGCACGGUUUCACCCGCUCUGCUCGGCUUCUAUUGGUCAUAGCGUGAUGUUUUAUAGCCUAUAGCCUUCCUCGAUAAAUGCACUACCCAACACAAAAAGAAUUAUUCAAUUCGAACCAGUAGUUCCGGAGAUUAGCGCGUUCAAACAAACAAAAACAAACAAACAAACUCUUCAGCUUUAUAAUAUUAGUAUAGAUUAGUAUAGAUAGAUUUAGGAUGCACAGACCUUAUAAAAAUGCAUAUUCGUAGUUCGUACUAGUAAUGACCAGCCAGUACAUUGUAAGCCUUAUACACGGUGUAACAAAAAGGGGGGUAUACAUAUCAAGUGCACGGUUUCUAGACAACAUAAAAAAAAAAACAUAUGGGAAGGUUUUUUUUUAAACUUAUGUUUUCCUGGAACGUAGUUAUGAAUUUUUCCAAUACAUAAAAUUCCAAAAACCGAAUAUCAGAAUUAGGUAGAUACAGGUACUAGGCGAUCAGAUUUACAGAAUAAAUGUUUCGUAAUUAGCGAGUGACCCCUGUGAUGUUGUGAUACGUUAGUAUGAUGAUUUUAAAUCAAGAACCAUGCGACACCAAGUAUUUGGUACCAAUUUUUUUAAAUGUAUUUUAAGCUGAAACUUUGUGUAGAGAUUAUAAUUAUUCAACCAGUAUUCUUCAGUGCUUCUUGAUGUAUAUGGAUAUUUUGUUACACGCUAUAGAUUUCACAAGGAGAACGAAAUAGUAAAUAAUUUAAAAAAAUAUUAGAUGCAGGUAUAAUAAGGGUGUCAAUGUUACAUUACUCUAGUCCCGUAGUGUGUUAGUGUUAGUGAAGAAAAAGGGAGGUGAUCAUAGGCUUUGUGUAGACUAUAGGGCUCUUAAUUCCAACACUAUUAAGACCGUUAUCCAUUACCUCAUAUAGUAGAUAAAGUAAAUAAGCUGUCGGGAAAAUAUUACUUUACGACACUAGAUUUAGCCCAAAGCAACUGCCAAGUAGGGAUGCAUAAGGAUUCAACACAUAAUGCAAUCGCAUUCGUAACUCUGUCGAGUCAAUAUGAAUUUCUUAAGAUGCCGUUUGGAUUGGCUAAUGCCUCGGUUAUAUUUUCCCGUUUAAUUCAAAUGACACUUGGUAGAGUAGAUCAAAAUAUUGCCCUAUAUCUUGAUGACGUUUUGGUGCCAACUGUAUCUGUACAGGAGGGAUUAAAGUUUCUGGAAAAAUACUGCAACUACUAACAAAGGUUAAUUUAAAAUUGAACCUGAGCAAAUGUUCUUUCCUUAAAAGUACUGCUUACAUAUUUAGGUCACGCAAUUUCGGCUGGAACUAUUCAACCAGGCGAAGCUAAAGUCAAAUGUGUCGCAAGAUAUAGUCCACCACGGAAUGUACACGAAAUUAGGCAGUUUAUAGGGUCAACCCGGUACUUUAGGAAAUAAAAAAAAUGCUUAGGUUGCACGUCCCCUUACAGAACUGACUAAGAAAGAUGUUAAUUGGCAUUGGGAUGUUGAUCAUGAAAAGGCUUUUCAAACUCUUAAGCAACGUUUAAUUUUAUUGAAAGACCGGUUUUAGCCAGAAGCUAAUACUGAAUUACAUACAGACGCCAGUAUAAUAAGCUUGGGCGGUAUACUAAUGCAAUAUCAGUCAGAUGACAGUUUGAAACCAAUAGCGUAUUUCAGUAGAGUGACAAGUAAAGAGGAAUCUAACUAUCAUAGUUUUGAACUUGAAACACUAGCCGUCGUAGAGUCCCUUAAACGUUUCCGUGUCUAUUUAAUUGGUAUACUAGUCAAGGUCAUUACGGACUGUUCAGUAUUGAGAACUACCAUUAUUAAAAAGGAUUUAAUCCCUCGUAUUGCUCGACAGUGGCUCCCGAUCCAAGAUUACAACUUAGAGAUUGAGUACAGGCCAGGUAAUCGCAUGAGACAUACAGACGCAUUAAAUAGAAAUCCCAUACCAAAUACCUACCUACAGUGCUAAUGAUUAAUAAUUCAAAUUGGUUAGUUACUCUUCAAUUUUUCUUGAUAAUAUCCAAAAUGAUACUAGGCAUCGCGAUAAUAGUGAUUGUAACUUGACUGCAAAUUAUAUCGUUAAAGAUGGGAUCUUAUUUAGGAAAACUGUUGCUGGAGAACGUUAAGCUUGCCAAAUAUGGGCUAUUGCAGAAACUACAUGAUCAGAUAGGUCAUCCAGGACUUGAGAAAUGUGAACAAUUUAUUUAUUAAAGGGCAUUUCUGGUUCGAAGGCAUGGCUAAGUUUAUUUGAAAAUACUUUAAUUCAUGUUUACAAUGUGCUUUUAAUAAGAGAAAUUAUGGGAGGUUACACGAUGAGCUCCAUCUAUUUGAGAAAUCUACAAUACCUAUGCACACGAUCCAUGCCGACCACGUGGGUCCUUUCAUUAAACGCAGACGCUUUUAAUAAAUUCGUGGUUGCCCGACCUGCUAAAAUUGUAGCUCAGUAGAAACAAUUAGACUUCUUCUUAAAUUAUCAUACAGUUUGGCUAUCCGGUUAGAGUUAUCACUGACAGAGGUUAAGUUUUUACUAGUAGGUAUUUCAAACAGUUCCCUGAAGAAAACCAAUUUAAACAUGUUUUAAAUGUUAUAGGCAGCCCCAAACUCUGCUGUGUUAUCAGAAAUAUUUCAGCUAAAAGUCCAUCCAUUAAAAUUUAAAUCACGUUAUUCAGUCUUUCUUCGUAAAGAAAUUGUUCUGUGUGAAUGAGUAGGUAGUCUUUUGAUCUAAUUCAGUCAACAUUGGAAAAAAUAACUGGGUGCUAGUCCUAAGCUAAAAUAAUAUCUGCUGAAUUAAAAGGACAGCUGUGUGAUCAAGUCCAUGAUUAAAAGGACAGCUGUGUGAUCAAGUCCAUUAUUAAAAGGAUAGCUGUGUGACCAAGUCCGUGAUUAAAAGGAUAGCUGUGUGAUCAAGUCCGUGAUUAAAAGGACAGCUGUGUGAUCAAGUCCAUUAUUAAAAGGACAGCUGUGUGAUCAAGUCCAUUAUUAAAAGGACAGCUGUGUGAUCAAGUCCAUUAUUAAAAGGACAGCUGUGUGAUCAAGUCCAUUAUUAAAAGGAUAGCUGUGUGAUCAAGUCCUUGAUUAAAAGGACAGCUGUGUGAUCAAGUCCAUUAUUAAAAGGAUAGCUGUGUGAUCAAGUCCGUGAUUAAAAGGACAGCUGUGUGAUCAAGUCCAUUAUUAAAAGAAUAACUAUCUAAUAAAAUCCGUGAUUAAAAGGAUAGCUGUGUGAUCAAGUCUUUCAUUAAAAGGACAGCUGUGUGAUCAAGUCCAUUACUAAAAGGACAGCUGUGUGACCAAGUCCGUGAUUAAAAGGACAACUGUGUGAACAAGUCCUUGAUUAAAAGACUGCUGUGUGGUCAAGUUCUUGAUUAAAAGAAUGGCUAUGUGAACACUGUCCGCUGCAUUAAAGUGAUUUGAUUUAGAUAGCUGUAUUGUAUGUAAAAUGUAAUUUACCAGGUUGGCCUCUUAAACUAUUAGUACGAUAUACAAUAGAUACUGCUGGAUGUUUUAUUUGUUUCAGAAAUUUGCAUCUGCAAACGGAAAUCACAGCGAAGACCGUGGGACACGUUCUGCACAGGAUGGCCGAGUGUUAACAACCACUAGCAACACCAGACAGAUAUAAUGUAGGAUGUAAUUAUAAUAUAAAAAGGAUAGUAUUUAAUUACUGAGUACUAUUCAUAGGAAUAAAUAUAUUAAACCUCUUUCAUCAUUUCAUAGACAAUAUAAAUUGUUUAAAAAUAAUUGUUAGCUGAAAUGGAACGUCAAAUGAUAUAUUUAAAAAUGGCGGGAAAUAAUUAAUUCGAAUAUUGGUCGAUGAGACGGAUUAUUAUUGUUUUAUAAUUGUUCUGUAAAUAUAAAUUGUAAUUCCUGAAA